UUUUUCUCUUACAAUUAUAUUUUUUUCGCCGUCCGUCUCAAUUUUUUAAAUUUUUUUUUACUCGUCCGUUCGAUUACGAUAUUAGGUAUGUUUUUCGGUUUACCGUCGUCGCGACUUCGAUUUAUAAAUACAUAGGAACCUAUAUUAUAACAGGUAUACCUAUAUUAUAAUAUAGGCAGAUCGUAGGUAGGUCUGUGUAAUCAUUAAUAUGCAAAAUAGACAUAUAUGUACAGGCGUAGUUACAAUGUCAGUUAUUACAAUGUGAUUUGUAUAUUAUAAUAUAUUCUCGUGUAUGCGAUGUACGCGGCCGACUUGGUCGUGUCAACCCGUUGAUUAUGGUUGGUGCGCGCGAAAUACGUCGUAAUGGACUACCGGUGUUCGUCGACCGACCCGGCGCGUAACCGCGGUAGUAGUUCACCGGUGGUGGGGACGAAUUAAUGGCGGCCACCGCGGCUACCGGUGUUCGGCCGGCUACCGGACUCCGCCUAUACCCCUUUACUCUUCACCUCCGCUUGGUCGUUUUCCACCGCGCACAAGUGCACAACAUCCGCAGCCGUCGGACACGCACGAAACCGCUCCUCUCCGGUCGGAAAAUUUCCUUCGCUAUACCAUAUAUUAUUGUGUCUUGUCGUCGUCGUCGUCAUCGUCAUCACCAGUCAGCCGUAGCCGCCUGAAAUAGAUAUAAUUUACGCGCUUGUAUUGUAGAUCUCUGCACGUGUUGGCGGCGUAUAUUGUAGGACACCGAUCUGAAAAUCACUUCACGUCAUAAUAUUAUUACAAUAGUUGUGUGUAUUUCCCACCCGGGUAAUCUUAUCGACCCGUUCCCAACUAGACGACCGAGACUCGGCCCGAGUCACCGCCGUCCGCCAAUAAUAUAUUAUUAUCGUAAUCAGCUCGUGGAGCGCCAGGCGAGAACGCUGCAGCGGCCCAACCAUGUACGCGGUAAUACAGCUCGACUCGGAAAACCACAGACUCCGGCCCAAGCGGGUCAAAAUGGAGUUUGUGUGCAAAUACUGCAACCGGACGUUCAACAAACACUAUUCGCUGCUUAUACACGAACGCAACCAUCUGCCAACGGUCAACUACCGGUGCGAGAUGUGCUACAAGUCGUUCAAACGGCAGGACAGCCUGCAACAACACAGGUCAGUGUCGAAAUCGCAUUGAGUCCUUGCAUAUCAUAUUAUAUAAUAUACCACCUACUGUAUUAUAUAUAUUAUUAUAGUACCUACCUAUAAUAAUACACAUAUUAUUUGUAUAUAUAUAUAUAAACUAUCACUACUCUAUACCACUGCUAUACUACUACUACACUUAUAUUACUCUAUAUAUUAUAUAUACUUACUGUAUACUACUUCGUAUUGAAACUGCCGUGUACAUAUAUAAUAUUGUCGUCGUCAGCGUCGGAAUCGAGGUUGUGAAAGCCGCCUCCUACUCCCGGAAUUCGUAUGAAUUUUUUUUCACAAUCGAAAAAUUCUUUUGAAUUUCCAAUUCGCGGGUUUAAUAUAAUAUAUAAUAUGUUAUUAUAUUGUAUUGUUAACCGCGAUUGCUGUCGCCAAAAGACCACCUUCAUGACCAGGAACCCGCGGAUGACGAGAAAAUGUUUCUACCUAUAUACCUACCUACCUGUGUUAUAUAUUUUGUUACAUAUACAAUGUUAUUAUACUUAUAUUAAUACAAAAUGAACUUUUAACGAAAUUUUUGGAGUCAAACGCAAAACCUAUACAUUAAUGAAUUAACUAUAUACCUACCUAUAUAUAAUAAGGUCACUAAAAUUCUAUUAACAUUUGCUUUGAGGUAUAAAAAUAAACACUCGACGAAAAAUAAUAAUAAUAUGUGACGUAUUUGGUGGCGCACGAUAAUUUUCUUGAUAAUAAAUUGGCACUAACUGACAGGAAACGGAAUUGACUUCAAAAAUGAGUUGUGUUCAUUUUGGAUACUUAUAUACUUCCUAAAUAUAUAUAAAUACACAAUAUAUGCAUAUAUUAUACAACAUACAACUAUAUUUUUAGAGUACCUAUAAUUACCUAAAUACAAACGUUCAGUGAUGUUAUAUACAAACUCCGUGUGUAUGGUAUUACUAUAUUACUACGGUGGUUGAUUUUAUUAUUACUACCUAUAUAAGUCUGCGUAUAGGCGAUCUUUUCACUUAUUUCAAUUCUUGUUCUAUAUUAUCCUCUUGCAGUUUUUCACGUUCUAUACUUAUUACCGAUUUAAAACAUGCCGACACAUCGCCUGUUAAAUUCUUUUUGCGAUUAAGAUGUUAAUUCAAUUUAAUAUCUUACUAUAUUUUAACAAUAACAAAUAUAAUCCAAUUCAAUUUUAAAAAAAGUACACUUACUUAAAUAAAUAAAACAAAAUAAAAACAACCAUUCUUGUCUGUUAUUAACAUUGGGUUUUGGAUUUUUCGCUAUUUUUUAUUUUUUUUUAUAGAUGUGGCCACUCCAGGUGAACUACGGAUUCUUCAAGACAACCCUUAUUUAUAAAACCUACCCAUCUAAAAAAAAACAAAAUCUAUUAUAGGCCACAUUUCUUACGCUGUAUAUUGUAAGCGAUAUAGGUACUAUUUAAUUCUUCUCUAUUUUAGUAAUUUCAAAAUAUGUAAAAACAAAAAAAUAAAACAAAAGAAUUCGGUUCAUAAUUUACCUAUUCACGUUAUUAAUAUAAUAAUACGGCAUGGUCGCUUGUUUUACUAAUACCGGUUUGAGGUCACAUCUCACAUAGACUUAUUUCUAUAUCUUAUACUUAUAUGAAUGAUCUCUCAAAAAAUCAAUUCUCACGAAAAUAUGAUCUGAUUGUGUGUACUAUAUAUGCCACAUAUUAUUUUCAAAUGUUAUUCUUCAAUGUUUUUUAAUUUUUUAAUUUAAUUUUAAUUUUCUCUCGGACUUCUUUUGUUUAUGGUUUUUAUUUUUCCAAUACAGAUCAACUCAUAGUCCAAAUUACAGAGCUGGGUACGCAUUGCAGCUUUGAAAAAAUUGUGAUAUGCUAAAUUAUUGGCAAAUUGUUGUAAUGAAGUAAAUGUAGAUAGACAGACAUUAACUAGGUAGUUGUUAAGUUGUAGUACUAAUAAGAUUAUAUAUUUGAGCAGACUGGUCGAUAUUUUUACUUUUUGAAUUAAAAAAUAUAUAUAGUUUUGAAAAAAACUCAAGUACAAUUUUUGGAUUUACUGUUUUUAAAUGUAAAUCAAUUAAUAAUUUAUUAACAAUGUAUGUUAUUUUAAGUAAAAUUAAAAGUCGUACAAAUCAAUAUUAUAUUCCUAAUAUUUUUAUUGUAAGACGUUGAUAAAAUAAUGAGACAUAUACCAAUGUAUUAUUAAUUUAUAGAAUAGUUAUCUAUGUGAAAUACUUGUAUAGAAGCUAUUUACAAAAUGAUUCUUCAAGCAAAAUUUUUCUUUGAAUGUUCCUUAAUAAUUUCUUACUUGAAAUUCGCAAGUUUGGCAAAUUACAAUAUAAGAAAUACCUUUUGAAAUGUUUAACGUUAUUCUAAAAAAGUGGGAUUAUCCUACAGUAAAACAAUAUUACCAUUUAAUAAGAUAAAAAAUAUGUGUUAUUGUUUUUUUUUUCUUAUACAUAAUAUAUAUAUAUAAUUUGAUGCUAUUUAUAUAUGAACUAAUAUGGUUUAGAAUUUUGUAAAUAUGUAACCAGUUAUUGUUAGACCUUUUUAGAUAUUUUAAAGUUUUAAUUUGUAUGUAUCAUAUAUGUGUUGAUAAAAAAAAAUAUAUAUAAUUUAUUUGUAAA
RNA transcript from Acyrthosiphon pisum (pea aphid), 3731 nucleotides. It is a transcript of the gene named protein drumstick, with no coding region annotated. The record is from RefSeq and is a predicted model, not a curated record. The transcript is spliced from 2 exons. Lineage: Eukaryota; Metazoa; Arthropoda; Insecta; Hemiptera; Aphididae.